UCCGAUGGCUUUUGUGUUGGGGCGAUGAUGAUUAGCCGUGUCUGAAAUAUGUGUGCCUUCGAGCAAUCGAGGCACCUGUGGGUACCAAGUUGAAUCCUCCCUCUUGUCUCUAGAAUCCUUUUUGAUCCUGUGAUACUUGUUGCUCUAUCCUUGGAUGGUCAUUCUUGUUGAGUGAUAGCCAGGGCAGCACCACUGUAUAAACAUAUUGAUCUGGUGAUAAGAGACGGGGGUAGGUUAUAUGAUCGAGGAAAGUCAGAUCUGAGCCCACUAUGCAAUGAACCCUGGAUCCUUUUUAUUUGUAUUUAAAUGUGUUGCUUAUUUAUGCUCCGGUGUUUAUAGUCGUCUUAUGUAAAGAUUUCUUCUCUCUCAUACCUUUAUUACAUAUGAGUUGUUCUUGAUUUUUUAUUGUUUGUUGUUGGUCCUUGAUUUAAUCUGGUUAAGAGUAAGAUGCACUUUGUUAUACUAGAAAGACAUGCUCCCAGCAAGUUAUAGGGCCCUCUCUUGCUGCCUUAAGUUUGUAUGGUAAAGUAUGCAUCAUGUGUGCCUCUGUUUUGUUUCCCUCUUGUAUUCAUAUAUCUUGCUUCACAUAUCAUGGCACUUGAUAUAUGCAUGGUUGUUGGCGAUCGGACGCCACCGCCGCCGCCGAUGCCAUCAUGGCUCUUGCCGCCGUCAAACAUUAAGCUUGAGUCUCAGUUUGAUCUUACGGUUCUACGGCUCAAAGGUUGAUGACUGCCAUGAGGCACUACCCAGUUAAAUCUUCAUAACUUGUUGAGCAUGAGCUUUUCUUCUUAAUUAUUUUCAUCUUCUUAGCCUUGCCACAUCAUCUCUUAAAAAUAGUUUGAAUCCAUCAACUGUGUGCUCUGCCUAUGCAAUUCACUGAACCAUAAGAUUAAAACCUUCAUAAGGUGUAGCCCUGUCUCCAACUACCUUCUGAAUAUUAACAUUUUUGUUGGAAAAAGAAGAAAGAUUGAAUCAUAGUUUGCACUAAAUGAAAAUGAGUUUUUUUUUACAUUUUGUUCACUCACUAGGAGGGUCACUAUUUAUAUGCUUGCUUCAACUUUUUCUGGAUCACCAUGUAAAUCAUUUGUACACGAGCUCUGGAACAAGAAAAACAAUAAUCACAAGGAUGGAGGCUUAACAUGUAUUUUGUUUGCCAUCUGGUGUUUAUCUAAUUUUUUGAUGGUGUGACCAAAACCAGAUUACCUUUUCUAAUGUUAGUAUUGUAGUGUUAUCUGCAAUGGCAUCUACUAUAUAUACUGAAAGUAGUUUUAUUUAUCUUUAGAACUUGAUAUAUUUUCUAAAACCAUUUAUUAUGCUUCUAUUUGUAUCUAUGACUUCUGAAGCAAGUCAACACCCACAUAGGCAAACAAACCAAACUGCCGGUAGAGUCACUGUAUAUAAGAAAAUUUACUUUGCUUCCAGUAGUGGGUUUAGGCUUGAUAGAAGCUUGGUUGUUUAUAUUUUCAGAAAAUUGGAUCUAUCAUGAUUAAGAUAUGGUCAACAUGUAUAUAUUUGGUUCUACUAUGCCCUCCACUGUUGCUUAGCAAUGUGAUUGCUUAAUGAUUACUACGACAUAUCUUGCUAGGUCCAAGCUGAUAACAAUCCUCUUGGUCUUCAAAUUUUUGUCGAGGCGGCAGGGAUCAAAGAAUAACAGAUCUGGGUCUUCGCCUUCCAAGACUAGAAGGGGGAAAUCAUCGCUCACUGUCCAUAUGCUUUACAAGCAAAUCUCAAGUGCAUUGCCUAUACAAAAAUAAUUUUUUGGUCAUUUAUCUCACAAACUAUUCACAUCAAGUUCAUAUGGAAUGGCACUCACGGAGGCAAUUGAACCAAGCUAUCUAUUGUAUGCCUAACUAUGGCUUCAUAGUUUUAUCGCCUCCAUUGCCAUUGUUGGCUUUCUCUCUCUUAUGUUUCUGCUCAUAUUACUGAACUUAAUGUUAGCUAAUUAGUUUUUCUAUUCGUAUGACCGUAGUGGAUGCUGCCUUGCUUCUAGCACGGGUUAACUUUGAUAGUCUCAUACCCAUGUUUAACUUGAUGAUGUUACUCUUCUGGCACAUAUUGAAUGUUUCUUCUUACUCUUGAACCAGCCAGA
This is a long non-coding RNA of Triticum dicoccoides, 2089 nucleotides long. RefSeq lists it as uncharacterized. Lineage: Eukaryota; Viridiplantae; Streptophyta; Magnoliopsida; Poales; Poaceae. The record is from RefSeq and is a predicted model, not a curated record. The transcript is spliced from 2 exons.